AACGUACGCUGGCGGCACGCCUAACACAUGCAAGUCGAACGAAGUAGCAAUACUUAGUGGCAGACGGGUGAGUAACAUGUAGGUAUCUGCCCUUUGGCCUGGAAUAACACGAGGAAACUUGUGCCAAUACCGGAUAAGUCUUUACGGAGAAAGCUUUAUGCACCAUUGGAUGAGCCUGCACUUGAUUAGUUUGUUGGUGGGGUAAUGGCCUACCAAGACUGUGAUCAAUAGCUGAUUUGAGAGGAUGAUCAGCCACAUUGGGACUGAGACACGGCCCAAACUCCUACGGGAGGCAGCAGUGGGGAAUCUUGCACAAUGGAGGAAACUCUGAUGCAGCGAUGCCGCGUGAGUGAAGAAGGCCCUUGGGUUGUAAAGCUCUUUCGUCGGGGAAGAAAAUGACUGUACCCGAAUAAGAAGGUCCGGCUAACUUCGUGCCAGCAGCCGCGGUAAUACGAAGGGACCUAGCGUAGUUCGGAAUUACUGGGCUUAAAGAGUUCGUAGGUGGUUGAAAAAGUUAGUGGUGAAAUCCCAGAGCUUAACUCUGGAACUGCCAUUAAAACUUUUCAGCUAGAGUAUGAUAGAGGAAAGCAGAAUUUCUAGUGUAGAGGUGAAAUUCGUAGAUAUUAGAAAGAAUACCAAUUGCGAAGGCAGCUUUCUGGAUCAUUACUGACACUGAGGAACGAAAGCAUGGGUAGCGAAGAGGAUUAGAUACCCUCGUAGUCCAUGCCGUAAACGAUGUGUGUUAGACGUUGGAAAUUUAUUUUCAGUGUCGCAGGGAAACCGAUAAACACACCGCCUGGGGAGUACGACCGCAAGGUUAAAACUCAAAUGAAUUGACGGGGACCCGCACAAGUAGUGGAGCAUGUGGUUUAAUUCGAAGAUACGCGCAGAACCUUACCAACACUUGACAUGUUCGUCGCGACUCUAAGAGAUUAGAGUUUUCGGUUCGGCCGGACGAAACACAGGUGCUGCAUGGCUGUCGUCAGCUCGUGUCGUGAGAUGUUGGGUUAAGUCCCGCAACGAGCGCAACCCUCACUUUUAGUUGCCAUCAUUAAGUUGGGCACUCUGAAAGAACUGCCAGUGAUAAGCUGGAGGAAGGUGGGGAUGACGUCAAGUCCUCAUGGCCCUUACGUGUUGGGCUACACACGUGCUACAAUGGUAUCUACAACUGGAAGCAAGACUGCGAAGUUAAGCAAAUCCCUAAAAGAUACCUCAGUUCGGAUUGCACUCUGCAACUCGAGUGCAUGAAGCUGGAAUUACUAGUAAUCGUGGAUCAGCGUGCCACGGUGAAUGCGUUCCCGGGUCU
This 1306-nucleotide ribosomal RNA is filed under the name uncultured bacterium. RNAcentral describes it as "bacterial SSU rRNA". It matches the Rfam family "Bacterial small subunit ribosomal RNA", at positions 28 to 1381 of the family's 1533-position model. The record is from RNAcentral.